GCCUGGGUGGCUCAGUCGGUUGAGCGUCCGACUUCAGCUCAGGUCACAAUCCCAUGGUUUGUGAGUUCGAACCCCAUGUCAGGCU
RNAcentral lists this transfer RNA (85 nucleotides) under Felis catus (domestic cat). It matches the Rfam family "tRNA". Rfam says of the family: Transfer RNA (tRNA) molecules are approximately 80 nucleotides in length. Their secondary structure includes four short double-helical elements and three loops (D, anti-codon, and T loops). Lineage: Eukaryota; Metazoa; Chordata; Mammalia; Carnivora; Felidae. The record is from Rfam by way of RNAcentral.